GCACAAGCAGCGGAGCGUGUGGUUUAAUUCGAUGCAACACGAAAACCUUACCAAGGUUUGACAUGUCGGAAGUAGUGAACCGAAGGGAACGACCUGUUAAGUCAGGAGCCGUCACAGGUGCUGCAUGGCUGUCGUCAGCUCGUGCCGUGAGGUGUAUGGUUAAGUCCUGCAACGAGCGCAACCCUCGCUGUGUGUUAUAUGUGUCACACGGGACUGCCGGUCUUAAGCCGGAGGAAGGUGGGGAUGAUGUCAAGUCAGCAUGGCCUUUAUAUCCUGGGCUACACACACGCUACAAUGGCCAACACAAUAGGUUGCUAAGCCGCGAGGUGGCGCCAAUCCAUAAAGUUGGUCUCAGUUCAGAUUGUAGGCUGCAACCCGCCUGCAUGAAGAUGGAGUUGCUAGUAACCGCAGGUCAGCUAUACUGCGGUGAAUACGUUCCCGGGGCUU
RNAcentral lists this ribosomal RNA (447 nucleotides) under uncultured Leptolinea sp. RNAcentral describes it as "bacterial SSU rRNA". It matches the Rfam family "Bacterial small subunit ribosomal RNA", at positions 923 to 1382 of the family's 1533-position model. Lineage: Bacteria; Bacillati; Chloroflexota; Anaerolineae; Anaerolineales; Anaerolineaceae. The record is from RNAcentral.